UGAGCAAUCUGCCCUUCUCAUCGGAAUAAGCGUUGGAAACGACGUCUAAUGCCGAAUACGACCUCCUUUCGCAUGAUCGGAGGUGGAAAGCUCCGGCGGAGAAGGAUGAGCUCGCGGCCUAUCAGCUAGUUGGUGUGGGUAAUGGCUCACCAAGGCGACGACGGGUAGCCGGCCUGAGAGGGUGACCGGCCACACUGGGACUGAGACACGGCCCAGACCUCCGUAGGGAGG
Molecule: ribosomal RNA, 231 nt
Filed under: uncultured bacterium
Lineage: Bacteria
Description: partial 16S ribosomal RNA
Rfam family: Bacterial small subunit ribosomal RNA
Source: RNAcentral